AGUGAACGCUGGCGGUAGGCCUAACACAUGCAAGUCGAACGGCAGCACAGUAAGAGCUUGCUCUUACGGGUGGCGAGUGGCGGACGGGUGAGGAAUACAUCGGAAUCUACUUUUUCGUGGGGGAUAACGUAGGGAAACUUACGCUAAUACCGCAUACGACCUACGGGUGAAAGCAGGGGAUCUUCGGACCUUGCGCGAUUGGAUGAGCCGAUGUCGGAUUAGCUAGUUGGCGGGGUAAAGGCCCACCAAGGCGACGAUCCGUAGCUGGUCUGAGAGGAUGAUCAGCCACACUGGAACUGAGACACGGUCCAGACUCCUACGGGAGGCAGCAGUGGGGAAUAUUGGACAAUGGGCGCAAGCCUGAUCCAGCCAUACCGCGUGGGUGAAGAAGGCCUUCGGGCUGUAAAGCCCUUUUGUUGGGAAAGAAAAGCAGCAGGUUAAUACCCCGCUGUUCUGACGGUACCCAAAGGAUAAGCACCGGCUAACUUCGUG
RNAcentral lists this ribosomal RNA (492 nucleotides) under uncultured bacterium. RNAcentral describes it as "partial 16S ribosomal RNA". It matches the Rfam family "Bacterial small subunit ribosomal RNA", at positions 29 to 507 of the family's 1533-position model. The record is from RNAcentral.